GGCACAGGAAGCGAUCGUUUGAGUUUAAGUGGCCGCGGGCUGUUUUUGAAUGGCUGACACUGGCUUGUUUAUGUACCUGAUGGCUCCCUUGGUCUGCUGAUUACAUGUGACCUUGAGUGACCUUAGAGACCAUCAAUUGGAGGAAGGGGGUGAGCCGGAGAGUUGUUUGAGGAAGCCACUAGAAAAGAAAGAAAAAACAACUUUCAUGUUGUCUCCUCUGUCCCCCUGCCUGGGCGUCCAUCUUACCUUUCACAGCCUGGGCUCAGUGACCCCAAAUGCUUCCAGAUGUCUGGAACUCUGACCUGAGCCCCAGCGGCCCAGAUCAUACAUCCACCCCACCCCCACAUCCCUCUGCACCCUGCAGCCCACUGACAGAGCCUCCCCACGGACAGACAGCUCACCACCAUCAACCUCCACAUCUGGAGCCCAUUAGGAAGGAGACAGUCAGAGAGAGAGAGAGCGCUAAAGAGAAUGGGGUGGGGGUUCAGUUAAACUAGAGUUUGGCUGGAAUUGCGGUUUGAUCUCUCCUCAUGCCAUUACCUUUUAUAAAAGACACUUUUCUUAUGAAUAGCCCUGUAUAGUAAUAAUCACUGUGCUCUUGUGUUGAUAAUCUCAGAGGGAAUGAUAAUAAAAAAAAUAAAAAGUUAUUAGAGUUAUGGCCACAUGGGUUAUAGUCUCAUGUAUAUAUUAUAUAUCAUAGUCUCAUGGGUUAUAGACUUGUACAGAUAACAUAACAUUUUAAUGGAAUAAUUAAAAAAAGGAGUUCUUGCCAUAUAGCAAUUUAUUGUAAUCAUGGGCUGUCAAACAAAAACCCCAUCUAGAUGCACCACAGUGCAAAAAUAGACUUCUUAAUGCCUUUUUUAAAGACUUAUAUUCUAGCAAAAAUGUCUAAAAAUCAUAAAAAAUUACUUGAGAAGAAACACUGCAUAACAUGGAAAAAAUCUGCCAGUUCAGUAAGACAGAAAACAUUUAUAUUAAAGAUCUAAAACAAGUUUUAAUAUCUUAUGUAGUUUUGUU
Long non-coding RNA from Cyprinus carpio carpio, 1017 nucleotides. Lineage: Eukaryota; Metazoa; Chordata; Actinopteri; Cypriniformes; Cyprinidae. The record is from Ensembl.